Esox lucius (northern pike) is the source of this 1997-nucleotide long non-coding RNA. Lineage: Eukaryota; Metazoa; Chordata; Actinopteri; Esociformes; Esocidae. The record is from Ensembl.
GAUCUGCUUAUGUUUGACCAUUCUUCUUUAUUAAACUGCUCUUGACUAGAAAUUGAAACAGAAGAGUGCAUUUUUAUCCCUGUCCAGUCUUGUCCUUUAAAUAUGUUUCCCUAAUCUCCAGAUCCCAUAUUAGUUAUAUAGGCUAACUGCCAAAACCUUCCGAAUAUGACUCAGACCCAGAUAGAGUGAAGUCAGAGGCGUAACUUUAAUCCACAAGGCAAAUAACAAAGUGCAGGUAGGCAGAGGUCGGUACACAGGUAGUCAGAAGGCAGCAGUACAAUCCAGAAUCUGAGAAGGAUAAACGGGAGGCAGGCAGAGAGUUCAGGCGUCAGAAAAUCCGAUGGGCUACGGUACAGAAUCAGAAGGCAGGCAACGAAGUCGGGACAGGCAAAACAGGUCUAUGCUGAAGUCAAUGGACAACAGGGAAAAAUAGGCUCAGUAUGUCGCAGUGUCACAAACAAUACCUCAUGGUGAGAGAAGGAAACAGACAGGCUUAUAUGCACAGGUGGUAAUUGGGAACAGGUGUCUAGAAUUCGGGAGAUUGGGACCCGGAGGAUGUGCUGCGUUCCUUUGGAGGCCCCACACGUUCAUCCAUGUAAAACCGCACAACUUUUAGAUGUUCAUGUUAAUUAUGAAAAAACUUUUGAAAGGACUAAGCAAGUUUCUUGCUUCCUCUUCUUUUCUUGCUUUUCUUUUUUGAAGCACCACUGUUAGUGUUUUUGUUUCACGCUGCCAGCGGCGCCUCAAAAAGUACAGGGGUCCUAAAUGAGAAUGAUAUCCUGUGUCAAGUCAGAGGCAGGUGUGAAGAGGCAGGUGUGGAGAGGCAGGUGUGAAGAGGCAGGUGUGGAGAGGCAGGUGUGAAGAGGCAGGUGUGAAGAGACAGGUGUGGAGAGGCAGGUGUGAAGAGGCAGGUGUGGAGAGGCAGGUGUGAAGAUGUUGGUAGUGCCGUUUAAUUGCAGACUCCUAGUGCUCAAUCUUGCUCACACAGUUUCAUGGGCUGGGGAUUUAUGUAGAAGAAAAAAUCUGGUUAGGAGCAUGAUUUUUUUUGGCAUUCUAUGUUUACUGACACAAAAACAUACUGUAAGUCAUGCCCUAAAAUCACUUAUUGGUUCGAUGCUAUGCUGGGUUAGACCAAACUGACACUUGUCACUCUCACGAUUUUCAAACAUCAACUUUAAUUUGAUUGGAAAAUAUAUACUUAUCAGAAUGCCUUCAUUGGCUUAACAAAAAGCCAUACAUUUUUUACUGAAAUAUAACAGUGGCUUAAAAUGUUCUUCAUGCAUAAAGUUUUGCACAAUUUUCUUGAUGUUGUGAAAAUUAUAUAAUGUACUCCUAUAUCAAGUUAAUAUCAAGUAAAAUAUAAAAAAUUGCAUUUACCUAAGUCAUUUAGCUAAUGCGUUGUUUUAUCCAAAGCAACUUUCAAUUGAGGCUGAGAAUGAUCAUAGCAUAUAACUUCUACAACUACAAACCUGUUUCCAAAGAAGUUGGUAUGCAGCGUUAAACGCAAAUACAAACAGAAUGCAAUGAUGUACAAAUCAUAUCUCCCUAUAUUUAAUUGAAAAUAGUGCAAAGAAAACAUAUCAAAUGUUGAAACUGAGAAAUGUACUUGUUUUUGGAAAAAUACAUGCCCAAAUGUAAUACACAUUUGUAAAUUGUGGUCUGCAUAUUUGCAAUAAUUUAGAAGCAAUUCUGUCUCCAUAGAUAACCAACCCCACCCCUGUGACAAACAACCCUGGUAUGUGAAGUAAUUAGCCAGUGGAAAAUGUGUACUACACAUAUGUUAAUUGUUCGAGCAGUUUAAUUGAAAUUUAUGGAAAUAUCAGUUUGAAAUGUAAGAAUGAGCGGAGAACAGAAGAUUCAAAAACGUUUUGAUAGUUAAAUUAGGGUAUACCCACGUCACCAGGCACCACACCACAGACUUUGCUGGUGUGUAUACAGUUGUACUCAAAAGUUUGCAUACCCUUGGAGAAUUGGUAACAUAUUGUAAAAAAAACACA